RNAcentral lists this ribosomal RNA (253 nucleotides) under uncultured bacterium. RNAcentral describes it as "partial 16S ribosomal RNA". It matches the Rfam family "Bacterial small subunit ribosomal RNA", at positions 524 to 776 of the family's 1533-position model. The record is from RNAcentral.
UACGGAGGGGGCUAGCGUUGUUUGGAAUUACUGGUCGUAAAGCGCGCGUAGGCGGGCUAGCAAGUUGGGGGUGAAAUCCCGGGACUCAACCUCGGAACUUGAUCCAAAACUGCUAGCCUAGAGGAUGUGAGAGGAUAGUGGAAUUCAGAGUGUAGAGGUGAAAUUCGUAGAUUUUCGGAAGAACACCAGUGGCGAAGGCGACUGUCUGGCGCACUUAUGACGCUGAGGUGCGAAUGCGUGGGGAGCAAACAGG